GUUUUAUUUUUAUUUUUAUUUUUCACAUUCCCAACACCUUUUAAUCAGGCAACCACAUUUUUCUUGAUUCUUUUGAUCUGGAUGACCAGCCUUGUUAGAGAGCCACGGCUACCAACAAAGUCAGCAGCCUAAAAACUAAACCCCCCAUCAAAACCAACCAACCAAACACAAAGCUCUUUGGGUGUCAAAGUUGUUUGCUGUGCAAAAACAGGCCGGGAAAAUUCCUCCCCCCAAACCUGAAAUCACACAAGUUUUCAAUGAUGAUCCUUCCGCAGGUUCACCUACGGAAA
Molecule: unclassified non-coding RNA, 290 nt
Filed under: uncultured fungus
Lineage: Eukaryota; Fungi
Description: sequence contains ITS1
Source: RNAcentral